RNAcentral lists this long non-coding RNA (1027 nucleotides) under Equus caballus (horse). Its description in RNAcentral is "lncRNA (ENSECAG00000048295.1)". Lineage: Eukaryota; Metazoa; Chordata; Mammalia; Perissodactyla; Equidae. The record is from RNAcentral.
CUCCCACGUACACACGAGGGAUACAUGUUAAUAAACUUCUGUUUGUUUUCCUCUGCUUAAUCUGUCUUUUAUUACAGGGAUCUCAGCCAAGAACGCAGACGAGGAGAGGGAAAAGGAUCUCUCCUCCCCUAUGUGUCCACUGCGACUGCCUUCUCUGCCAGGAAGCCUUCUGUGACCACCUCUCCAAUUCUGGGUCAGUCUCUCCGUCCUCUCACCUCCAGUGCCCCUUGGGAUCUGAUCCACUCCCUUGACAGGCAAUGGCCUUGUCCAGCUGUCCAACGGGAAUACAAUGGGAAGAAAGUAUUCUUAAAGAUGAUUCACAUAAAAUCUGAACAGUGAUGAGGCCAGCUCCCCUGCGCAUUCUAACGCGGAGCGGAGGGCGCCAGGUAAAAGCCCGGACAGGCGGUACCCAGGCGUCUAGGCAGCCGUCCACAGAGAUGCGGGUCCUCCGCGGAGCCUAGAGAGGACGCGGAAGUGGGCUGGGGGCGGGGUCCGAGGCCCCUGCAGACUCCGCGUCCGCCGGCUGGGUGCGGCCCCGCGGCUGCCAGAGAGUCGGUCGGAAGCGAGCGCUGGAGGGGCGAUGCCGUGCACUUUGCCCCUCUGUCCUUCCGUUUCCCUCGCCGAGCCAUGCCCCUGGCGGCCGAGGAGAGUGGGCGCGGGUCCCGAAUCCCCCGGCGGGGUCGACGCCGCUGUGCAUCGCCGGGUGCCCGGGGUCGUUGGGGCCCCGCCACCCUCGGUCCCCGCGCCCUCCUCUUCUCAGGCCGUCCGUCCCGCGCUGCUCAAGUUUCCAGCCCUGCUCCUCUUGUAGGAGCAGGGGUGGGAUGACCCCGGGCCAGAGUGGACAAACCUCCUGUUCCUGGAGCCGGUGCCCUGUGAGGAUGCGGACGUGGGCUUCAGAUAAGAGUGGAGGCGCCUGUCCGCCCUGGGAAAGCUCUGCGCGGACGUGAUGCCGAAGAUUUCUGGAAACGUCGUCGCACUGAGUUGGUCACGCAGUUGGUUUCUGUCAUCCCUGUGGCCACUGACACUG